GAAGCUGACCAGACAGUCGCCGCUUCGUCGUCGUCCUUUCGGGGAGACGGGCGGAGGGGAGGAAAGUCCGGGCUCCAUAGGGCAGGGUGCCAGGUAACGCCUGGGGGGGAAACCCACGACCAGUGCAACAGAGAGCAGACCGCCGAUGGCCCACGUAAGUGGGAUCAGGUAAGGGUGAAAGGGUGCGGUAAGAGCGCACCGCGCGGCUGGUAACAGUCCGUGGCACGGUAAACUCCACCCGGAGCAAGGCCAAAUAGGGGUUCAUAAGGUACGGCCCGUACUGAACCCGGGUAGGCUGCUUGAGCCAGUGAGCGAUUGCUGGCCUAGAUGAAUGACUGUCCACGACAGAACCCGGCUUAUCGGUCAGUUUCA
Molecule: RNase P RNA, 372 nt
Filed under: Salmonella enterica
Lineage: Bacteria; Pseudomonadati; Pseudomonadota; Gammaproteobacteria; Enterobacterales; Enterobacteriaceae
Also listed under: 1 other name
Description: partial RNase P RNA component class A
Rfam family: Bacterial RNase P class A
About the family: Ribonuclease P (RNase P) is a ubiquitous endoribonuclease, found in archaea, bacteria and eukarya as well as chloroplasts and mitochondria. Its best characterised activity is the generation of mature 5'-ends of tRNAs by cleaving the 5'-leader elements of precursor-tRNAs. Cellular RNase Ps are ribonucleoproteins.
Source: RNAcentral